This 139-nucleotide small RNA is filed under the name Firmicutes bacterium CAG:646. Its description in RNAcentral is "Clostridiales-1 RNA". It matches the Rfam family "Clostridiales-1 RNA". The record is from Rfam by way of RNAcentral. Lineage: Bacteria; Bacillati; Bacillota.
AGAUGCCAGGGUCAAAAGGUCAUAAACCACGUUGUGCUUGCACAUAAGUGGUUUUAUGCCUUUAUGACCCGCCCCAAAUUCGGAUAUCGUGGGGCAGAAUUGUGGGAGUGCGUAGCACGAAACAAUUCGUUAGGCAUCU